RNAcentral lists this ribosomal RNA (119 nucleotides) under Ipomoea nil (Japanese morning glory). Lineage: Eukaryota; Viridiplantae; Streptophyta; Magnoliopsida; Solanales; Convolvulaceae. The record is from RNAcentral.
GGAUCGAUCAUACCAGCACUAAUGCACCGGAUCCCAUCAGAACUCCGAAGUUAAGCGUGCUUUGGGCGAGAGUAGUACUAGGAUGGGUGACCCCCUGGGAAGUCCUCGUGUUGCAUCCC